Molecule: long non-coding RNA, 417 nt
Filed under: Carassius auratus (goldfish)
Lineage: Eukaryota; Metazoa; Chordata; Actinopteri; Cypriniformes; Cyprinidae
Description: lncRNA (ENSCARG00000040925.1)
Source: RNAcentral
AUGGAUCAAUCUGCGGACGGAAAUAUAGAAAGCAAACAGAAUUCUGCGAAACCGUUUUGUCAGCGCUAUUUAGUGUCUUUUCCAACCACAGUGUGUCUAGUGUUAUCGCUGAGUUCAAUAGCGGUGUGUUUUCUCGUGAGUUUCAAAACGCAUCAGAUGGAGAGCAGGCUGCGCGAGCUGGAGAUAAAGAUGACUGACAUCUGUCAAGAAUCACCCAAGGACAUCUCUGUCCCACAGGAACUGCGGGAAUCCAUUGAAACACUCUUACAGGAGAGGGUGAAUGAAGCGAUGCCGAAGUUGCGUGUGGCGAGAGACGUGACACAAGACUGCAACUGUCCUCCAGGUAUUUCAGUCUUUUUUUAUUUUGUGUCUGCCAUUCUCUUUCUCUGUCAGCAGCUGUCCAUCACCGGGAAUUAA